UCAUAAUACAGAAUGAAUGACUGACUUCCCAGUGCAACAUUAGUUCACCAUCUCAUACAGUAUUGGAGCAGCAGCAGCUGACUUGAUCGUUGAUGCUACUCAGCAUAUUUGAAUCUGAGAGUAAAUAGAGCCGAAUACACUCUAAAAAUGAAGGGUUCAACUGGAGUUGUUCUCAGAUCCCCUAAGAACCGUAGGGUUCUUGUCAAUGAAAAACAGCCCAAAAGGUUCUUCAAAGAACUUGUUAGAAGGUGGGUUCAUCGAGGAACCUCCGUUGUUGCUGGACUUCUUCCUGGAACUUCGCAAUUACAACUGAAAACGCCAGUGGCAAGUUUGGAUGCGACAACAGUUAAAAAGGACAGAACAUGGACACAAUGCAAUUGGGAUCAAGAAGAUCUUCUCAGAAAUGAAUCAAGUCCAUGGAAUGGAUAUAGACAAAAAGAGAAUUCAAGGACUAGCAGAGGUAAAGAGGUGAGGCAGGGGUGAGGAGACCAUCCUGCUAUUUUGACAGUCCCUGAAGGACAAUACAGAAGAGGUACUUUCUCUUAUUCCUUCCCUUUCUCUAAUGUAUUUUGUAAUAAAAUUAGCAAGUGUAGUAAGAUCAUUGCUUUACUUUACUAGGACUGGAGACCACAGCAGCGAUCCUGCUCUUGCCCUACCUCUUCAAGAGGACCCGAGUGGCCUUUAUGUCAGUGACAAGGUAUGCCUAUGCACAAAUCAUCUGUUUCUUCAUAAACAUAGGUGUGCAUGCUUAUAUAAAACUACAGCUGAACAGUUGUUCUGUUCUUUGUUAAUUGUAUGUGUAUUAAUCUUUUCUUACUUUUGUUGACACAGAUUUCACCACUCUUCACUCCGUUACUGCACAUCGGCGGAAAUCCAUUUCACCAUGAGAGUGAAAUCCCGCUGGCCUUUGAUGGGGAGAACGUCCACGCCCUCGAGGACUUGGGGCUCUGCUACGACUGCAUUUAAAAAAUCCCUUAAAUUUCCCAAAAUGUCAGAAAAACACAUAUGUUCUUAAGUUACUGUGUUCUGGGGAUAAGAGAAGUUGGGGUGAAGUUACCAGGACCGGUCAUAAAGAUGGCAAAAUUCCGAACAUAACUAAAUGGAUACGAUAUACACACUAAAGCUGAAAAAUCUGUAUUUAGCAUCAAGUCUACAAUAUUGUUAGUUUACCUAUGAUUCAUUUUUAAUGUAUGUUGUUUUUAUUGUACAUCAUUAUUCAUAUAUAUUUUUUAAAUGUCAUGAAAAGCCCUAUACAAAGUAAAUGUAUUAUUUAUUAUGGUCUGACAUGUCUGCAGAAACUUUGCAAUUUUGUAAAGUGUUUGUUUGGUAAACUGUUUUGUAAAUAUGAAUUCAUAUUUGUGGUGCCACUAAAUAAACAAUU
This 1381-nucleotide long non-coding RNA is filed under the name Oncorhynchus kisutch (coho salmon). RNAcentral describes it as "lncRNA (ENSOKIG00005044127.1)". The record is from RNAcentral. Lineage: Eukaryota; Metazoa; Chordata; Actinopteri; Salmoniformes; Salmonidae.